UUGAUUUUAUAAAAUUAUAAAACACGUUUGAUAUACGCAUAGUGUGGGAGGGGAGCGCGAUACGCUGCUCGUUCCUCGAUAAUGAUCCUUCCGCAGGUUCACCUACGGAAA
RNAcentral lists this unclassified non-coding RNA (111 nucleotides) under uncultured fungus. Its description in RNAcentral is "sequence contains ITS1". Lineage: Eukaryota; Fungi. The record is from RNAcentral.